UAUAAAGCUAUGAAGAGGAUAAGUAGUCAUUGGUCAAGUAUUUACAGAGAGCCGGGAUAGCUGGAAGCCGGUAAUACUCCCAAAUGAUGAACUCGCCUCUGAGUGUUAAUCCGAAAUUUUAGUAGGGUUAGCCGAGUCCCAUUCUUCGGUACUCGUUACAAAAGAGAACAGAGAAUCUGUUCGCAAGGUGGUUGAACGUUGACCACGAAGAAGGGUGGUACCGCGAAAAAGUUUAUUAACCUUUUUGCCCCUUUA
This 255-nucleotide non-coding RNA is filed under the name Metabacillus harenarius. RNAcentral describes it as "Bacillus weihaiensis T-box sequence". It matches the Rfam family "T-box leader". From Rfam's summary of the family: Uncharged tRNA acts as the effector for transcription antitermination of genes in the T-box leader family. The record is from RNAcentral. Lineage: Bacteria; Bacillati; Bacillota; Bacilli; Caryophanales; Bacillaceae.